This 594-nucleotide unclassified non-coding RNA is filed under the name uncultured Tomentella. RNAcentral describes it as "sequence contains ITS1, 5.8S rRNA gene and ITS2". The stretch from base 209 to 363 matches the Rfam family "5.8S ribosomal RNA". Lineage: Eukaryota; Fungi; Basidiomycota; Agaricomycetes; Thelephorales; Thelephoraceae. The record is from RNAcentral.
UCAUUACUGAAUUGUCAACAUGAAGUUGUUGCUGGCCCUCAUGCGGGGGCAUGUGCACGCUCUGUUUACACAUCCAUUCACACCUGUGCACUCUCUGUAGUUCUGUGGUUUGGGGGCUCUGUCCUCCUACCGUGGUCCUGCAUAUUUACACAUACACACUGUGAUAAAGUCUCAUGGAAUGUAUGCCGCGUUUAACGCAAUGCAAUAUAACUUUCAGCAACGGAUCUCUUGGCUCUCGCAUCGAUGAAGAACGCAGCGAAAUGCGAUAAGUAAUGUGAAUUGCAGAAUUCAGUGAAUCAUCGAAUCUUUGAACGCACCUUGCGCCCUUUGGCUAUUCCGAAGGGCAUGCCUGUUUGAGUAUCAUGAACACCUCAACUCUCAUGGCUCGCCGUGAUGAGCUUGGACUUUGGGGGUCUUGCUGGCCUGUGGUCGGCUCCUCUCAAAUGAAUCAGCUUGCCAGUGUUUGGGGGCACCACGGGUGUGAUAAAAAUCUACGCCUGCGGUUAUCCACCAUGUAACCUUCAGUGAUGGAGGUUCGCUGGAGCUCAUAAACGUCUUUCCUCAGAGAGGACAGCUCUUCGAUUGUUUGAUCUC